This 370-nucleotide ribosomal RNA is filed under the name uncultured organism. RNAcentral's name for it is "bacterial SSU rRNA". It matches the Rfam family "Bacterial small subunit ribosomal RNA", at positions 526 to 896 of the family's 1533-position model. The record is from RNAcentral.
CGUAGGGUGCAAGCGUUAAUCGGAAUUACUGGGCGUAAAGCGUGCGCAGGCGGUUCUAUAAGACAGAUGUGAAAUCCCCGGGCUCAACCUGGGAACUGCAUUUGUGACUGUAGAGCUGGAGUACGGUAGAGGGGGAUGGAAUUCCGCGUGUAGCAGUGAAAUGCGUAGAUAUGCGGAGGAACACCGAUGGCGAAGGCAAUCCCCUGGACCUGUACUGACGCUCAUGCACGAAAGCGUGGGGAGCAAACAGGAUUAGAUACCCUGGUAGUCCACGCCCUAAACGAUGUCAACUGGUUGUUGGGAAGGUUCCUUCUCAGUAACGUAGCUAACGCGUGAAGUUGACCGCCUGGGGAGUACGGCCGCAAGGUUG